Molecule: small RNA, 2717 nt
Filed under: Pongo abelii (Sumatran orangutan)
Lineage: Eukaryota; Metazoa; Chordata; Mammalia; Primates; Hominidae
Description: retained intron
Source: RNAcentral
CAGAGCAGAAGCCAGGAGAGGUUUUGGUCUUGGUAAGUGGAGUGGAGGGGAAUACCUUGGUUUCAGCAGUGGGCUCACAGAAUGCUGAGUACCUGCAUACACUGAUACCUUGGUGUUGAGGGCAGUGACCAUACCUUAUUUCCUUCCACCUUUCCUGUCUUAUCUGGACACUGUGCAGUCUGCCAUCUCUACCAUGAUUUUCGGGCCCUGCAUGUUCCUGCCUCUCUGGCCUGUGUCUCCUCAUUGCCCUUCUCUGUAUCUGUGCAGAGCUGUCUACUGUUGGUGACUCAGUGCGUGUCUCGAAAUGUGCACAUAUCCUUAAACAGGUAUUUGAACUUCAGCCAAUCCUUAAUUAAUACUUAAACACCAGCUACUAUUUUGGAAUCACAUUUUGCUGGGACUAGACACAUGCCUUCUCAUAGUGCUUGGCUGUCACCAGCAGCCAAGGCCCUGCUGAAACCCUUUGCAGAGGAGUGACUUGGAGACCCCACCUCUCUUCCCUGCACUGCAUCCUAUCUUGCGCCCUCAUCUCGGUUGAGGUUUUCCUUAGUCUGUAGUCUGGUGGAGCCAUAUUCAGUUGCGCCAGGCUUUCCCAACCCAGACCUUUUCUAGCAACCUUUCAGCAAUUCUUUUUUUUUUUUUUAAGAUGGAGUUUUGCUCUUAUUGCCCAGGCUGGAGUGCAGUGGCGCAAUCUCGGCUCACUGCAACCUCCGCCUCCUGGGUUCAUGCCAUUCUCCUGCCUCAGCCUCUUGAGUAGCUGGGACUACAGGCGCAUGCCACCAUGCCCGGCUAAUUUUUUGUUUGUUUGUUUUUUGAGACGGAGUUUUGCUCUUACUGCCCAGGCUGGAGAGCAGUGGCGCGAUCUCAGCUCACUGCAACCUCCGCCUCCAGAUUCAAGUGAUCCUCCUGCCUCAGCCUCCCAAGUAGCUGGGAUUACAGGCAUGCACCACCACACCCGGCUAAUUUUGUAUUUUUAGAAGAGAUGGGGUUUCGUUGUGUUGAUCAGGCUGGUCUCGAACUCCUGACCUCACGUGAUCUGCCCACCUCCCAAAGCACUGGGAUUAUAGGCGUGAGCCACCAUGCCUGGCCCUUUCAGCAGUUCUAUGGAGUCCUUUUGGGUGUGUCUGACAUGCACUGGUGAUGAAGGUACCUCCUCCCUCUAGUUCAACUCUUAGUAAUAGAUUCAUCUCUGCUUUCAGAUGGUUUGUGUAGAGUGGAGGAUGAGAGAGCCCGUCCUGAGCAUCUGAAGAGCUACAGAGUCAUCCAGCACCAGGACACUCAUAGUGAGGGGAAACCAAGAAGGCACACUGAGCAUGGGACAGCCUUCCCACCUGGUUCCAGUUGUGGGCAACAGCAAGAAGUCCAUGUGGCAGAGAAGCUGUUCAAAUGCAGUGACUGUGGGAAGGUGUUCUUAAAGGCCUUUGCCCUCCUUGACCAUCUGAUAACACAUUCUGAAGAGAGACCCUUCAGAUGCCCAACAGGCAGAAGUGCUUUCAAGGAGAAGUCAGCUCAUAUUAACCCCCGAAAAAUUCACACUGGAGAAACAGCCCAUGUGUGUAAUGAAUGUGGGAAGGCCUUCAGUUACCCGUCUAAGCUGAGGAAACACCAGAAGGUUCACACAGGCAUAAAACCUUUUAAGUGUAGUGACUGUGGUAAAACCUUCAACCGCAAAGAUGCACUUGUUCUACACCAGAGGAUUCACACUGGAGAAAGGCCUUAUGAGUGCAGCAAAUGUGGGAAAACCUUCAGUGUUCUGUCUACCCUCAUUCGGCACCGGAAAGUGCACAUUGGAGAAAGGCCCUAUGAGUGUACAGAAUGUGGGAAGUUCUUUAAAUACAAUAAUAGCUUCAUUCUUCACCAGAGAGUUCACACUGGAGAAAGGCCUUUUGAAUGCAAGCAAUGUGGGAAAGGCUAUGUGACCCGUUCAGGCCUCUAUCAGCACUGGAAAGUCCACACUGGGGAACGGCCCUAUGAAUGUAGCCUAUGUGGGAAAACCUUCACUACCAGAUCCUACCGCAAUCGGCACCAGCAGUUCCACACUGAAGAGAGGUCUUAUGAAUGUACAGAGUGUGGGAAAGCCUUCAAACAUAGUUCCACCCUCCUUCAGCACAAGAAAGUCCAUACUCCAGAAAGGCCUCAGGAGGACAGGUCACAUGGGAAAGUUGUUAGCUGCUAGCACCGUGUUCAUCAGGAAAAGUCUUAUUCCAGAAAGGAGGUUGAGGAGAGUGGCCGUGAGAGUGCCAUCUGAAAGAAGCUAAACCUUGUACAUCCCAACACCCACCCCGGGGAGAGUUCCCGUGUGUGCCUGGUGUGUGGGAAGCUUUCAGGAGCCACAUUGCACUCUGACUUGCCUGGGGCUGUUGGCAAUGUCACAUCACUGUCAGUUUAUCCACCGCCAUCCACCUCUAUCCACCCCAUAAGGUCCCUACAGCAAGUGGGACAGCAGACCUUGUGCUCCUUGCUCUAAACAGUAGAGAAUCAUUAAUGGCGGAGCCCAAAACAGGCCUCAUUCCCUACCCUUGACUGGUUUAGCUGUGGACAUGACCCAUCUCUGGCCAGAGGAGCUGAGCUGGUAUCUGCUGGGGGCUUCCUGGGAAGGUUUACCAUUUUCAUGGACAUGGUUGACAUUACACAUGGUAUUUGUCAUGCCCUAGCAUGGACUGUCUCAUACUGCUAUGGACUGUGUGGUAAUAAAGGCUUUAUUGUUUAAGCCGCUU